GAUGAACGCUGGCGGCGUGCCUAAUACAUGCAAGUCGAGCGAACAGACGAGGAGCUUGCUCCUCUGACGUUAGCGGCGGACGGGUGAGUAACACGUGGAUAACCUACCUAUAAGACUGGGAUAACUUCGGGAAACCGGAGCUAAUACCGGAUAAUAUAUUGAACCACAUGGUUCAAUAGUGAAAGACGGUUUUGCUGUCACUUAUAGAUGGAUCCGCGCUGCAUUAGCUAGUUGGUAAGGUAACGGCUUACCAAGGCGACGAUGCGUAGCCGACCUGAGAGGGUGAUCGGCCACACUGGAACUGAGACACGGUCCAGACUCCUACGGGAGGCAGCAGUAGGGAAUCUUCCGCAAUGGGCGAAAGCUUGACGGAGCAACGCCGCGUGAGUGAUGAAGGUCUUCGGAUCGUAAAACUCUGUUAUUAGGGAAGAACAAAUGUGUAAGUAACUAUGCACGUCUUGACGGUACCUAAUCAGAAAGCCACGGCUAACUACGUG
This 497-nucleotide ribosomal RNA is filed under the name uncultured bacterium. RNAcentral's name for it is "partial 16S ribosomal RNA". It matches the Rfam family "Bacterial small subunit ribosomal RNA", at positions 28 to 507 of the family's 1533-position model. The record is from RNAcentral.